UACAGAGGUCCCAAGCGUUGUUCGGAUUCAUUGGGCGUAAAGGGUGUGUAGGCGGCGCCGUAAGUCAGGUGUGAAAUCUCGGGGCUUAACUCCGAAACUGCAUUUGAUACUACGGUGCUUGAGGACUGGAGAGGAGACUGGAAUUUACGGUGUAGCGGUGAAAUGCGUAGAUAUCGUAAGGAAGACCAGUGGCGAAGGCGGGUCUCUGGACAGUUCCUGACGCCGAGACACGAAGGCCAGGGGAGCAAACGGG
RNAcentral lists this ribosomal RNA (253 nucleotides) under uncultured prokaryote. RNAcentral's name for it is "partial 16S ribosomal RNA". It matches the Rfam family "Bacterial small subunit ribosomal RNA", at positions 524 to 776 of the family's 1533-position model. The record is from RNAcentral.